CGUGCCGGGCCGAGCCGGGCCGUGCCGGAAGCCGGAAGCCGGGCCGUGCCCGCCCGCCGCGGGAGGAGCCGGGGCCGGAGCGGAGCGGAGCGGAGCGGGCGGGGCCGCAGCCGGAGCGGGAGGAGCCGCCGGGCGGGACGCGAGCGGGGCAUUUCUGCUCGGAGGCCAUGGAGCUUUCAGCCAACGAGCUCAGCAUCUAUGACAAGCUCUCUGAGACCAUUGAUCUGGUGAGACAGACUGGCCACCAGUGUGGCAUGUCAGAAAAAGCCAUUGAGAAGUUCAUCAAGCAACUCUUGGAAAGAAACGAGCCCCAGAGGGGCCCUCCACGGUACCCUGUCUUAGUGGCUCUCUACAAGGGACUGCUCACCCUGGGCUUGGUGUUGCUGACUGUUUACUUGGUGAUCCAGCCCUACAACCCGCUGCCACCUGAAGCACCACUCUCCAGAGCCCAGGCCUGGGGCUCCCUCGUGGGGCACAUCCGGCUGCUGUCCCUGCCCAUUGCCAAGAAGUACAUGUUGGAGAAAUGCCAGGACUGGUGGGCAGCAGGUUGCAGACAGAACACUUCUGCACUUCCUGCAAACUGCACAGUCUGUUCUGCUGUGAAAAGCCUUCACAUAGUGACAGACUUCAGAGAGCUAUCAGAAAAGCUCCAGAGGCAUCAGCCUUUUCUAAUCAAGACAGGGCAGCAUCUCUCCUAUGAAGAACUGAAGCAUUUUCAGUCCCAGGAUCCAGAACUGGCAGAGGUUAUAAUAGAAGAAAAUUCAGCUGAAUUGUGGAGCUGCCCAUUUUUCUUUCCCUGGAACAAGUCUGUGAAUAGAUCCCGGAUUCUCCAGGAAUUUUUCCCUGCUUCCUCUUUGCUGUCCUUCCCCAAGACAGUGUCUCUGGAGAGCUGCUUCCUCAUCCGCCACCCAGAUUUGGGGAACAAGAGCUACAGCCUGCACAGCCUCUUCGCUGUUGGGAGUGGGCAGCUCACCCUGACUGUUGCACCCCUGGACACGUGCAGAGGACACUGUGAGGUGUUCAAGGUGGAGCUGGAAGCUGGAGAUUUGGGUUAUGCCAGCACAGAUCACUGGACAAUGAGCUUCAUGGCCAGAGGGACAGAGCCAGCGGUGAUUUGUGAUGGAGCUGCCAGCUAAGGGUGCUGGGGUGGGAAAACAGAGCUGUUCCCAGGACAAGAAGACUUUCAGCUUUGAAGCCAAGGCAGCGUCUUGAAAGGAGCGAGCCGGGGCAACUGGGGCAGGCAGCUUUGCCACCCUGCAUGUUUACAGUGUUUAAAAAGGACUAUUUUCCUGACCCUUGAGGUAAUCCUUUGCCUUUCCUCAAAUGUAUUUUGGGAGAAGCUCAAGCUAUUUAUGACCCUCCCUGUCCCCUCAGGUAAGCCCAGGGUUUGCAGCAAAGGGGUUUUUUUUCCAGGAGCAGCAGAUGGAUUUCUCAGGAUGAGAUUCACCUUAUGUUCUUUGUGGAUUAUGGCACUUCUGAAACUUCCUGGGGGGUUUGGGAGUGGAUGGGGUGUGUGACAUUUCUGUGUACAUUCCUCCUGAGGAGGAAGCUUUGAGCCUGUGUAGUCAGGCCCGUUCUAUAAAGGGAAUGGAUUGGUGAUGUGUCCCAGCUCUCACGUCUGCAGCUGUGUGAGCCCUGCAGAGCUGACCUUGGCUCCUGCUCCCUGGCUGGGGAGAGCCUUGAGCCUGAGGGCAGAAACUCACCCACUGCAUCCUUCUUGUACCAAAAGAAUCCCUUAAGGCCUCUCUGUGUUGUGAUCACCCUUUUGCAGCUCUCUGUCAGCAGGUUGUGAGUGAGUCAAAUGGUAAUUGUGCUUUUCUUCACCUCCACUUCCUUUCCUGCAAAAACACUGACACACAUCUUAGAGGUGCUGGCAGUGCUGGAGUUCUGGAUGGAGCUGGGGUUGGGAGAGAGCAGCUCUGUCCAGCUUUCACCUCAGACACCAAGGGCUGCACAGCCGUUCUCAGCUGCUCCUUGUUUUUGGAGGCACUGCCUGCGUUCCCAGCCCACGGUACCUCUGGGAGCACCUGAAACCUCCCUCUUCCCUGGCAUAUUUUUGCAUUGACUCCUUCCAGACCUGGAACUCUGUCUUCAGAAUGAACGUUGGUUUUUCCUGGGUCCUUUCCAAGCUGCCUUUGCGUGUUUCCUGCUGCUGGAGCAGCGCUGUCUCCAGUGCCCUGAGAGAGGCUCGGGUUCGGUGUGUGCAGACUGCGGAUGCUCCGCUCCCUUCCAAGUCUGAUCCUUUGGGUCUGAUCCCACUGCUGAAGAUCAUUUACAGAUGUGGCAGGCUGAACUCAUAGGCCAGGGCUGGAGUUCAGGACAUACUCUCACACUUGUUAAUAUGGAGUUGGGAGGGGUUUUGGUUAACUGUUCUCAGGAGCAAGAGCCUUUUUCUCUGUAAAUAUUUUAGGUACAUGUAAAAUGACAGAUUGGGAAAAUGUCUGUCCAGCCUUUGUUUUUGAGGAGAAUAGGAGCAAACAUUGUGCUAAUCUGAUUAGGAGUUGACAAAAGCUGCCAAGUGGGAUGACCACUUCUGGCUCCUGUACAAGAAUAAGGCAGAGGACAGUUCCUGCUCCAAAGAAUUUAGUCUGAGGCCUUGACACUACAAACAUUUCUAUGCAUAACCCUUGUUUUUCUCCUGUCAAAACAAUGAGAACAAGCCCAGCACCUGUGUCAGUCUGUGCAUGGCCCUUGAUGCUGGACACACACCAGAUCUAGUAGAACCAAAAGAGGAGAGUCUGACUCUCUCAGGAUAGAAAAGGACUGAUAUAAUUUGUUACCGAGUAUUAAAGGGAAUUGGACUAAUAGAACUUGCAUUAGUGUUCUCACUGCUUGGAGUGUAUUUCACACUCAUGACACUACAUUAAAUCUUGUACAUGCCAAGACACACACACACACACCACCCCCCUCCCUCCUCUUAAAGCCUGGGUCUUAGUUAAUGGAAAUUUGGGAGUUCAGUGAUGGCAGAAUUAGGGCCUCAUUAGUGACUGUUGCUAUUUACACUUUGGCAGCUUCUCAAAUCAAAUUCAAAGGCUGACCAGGUUACUUCACCUCUCACUGCUUUUGUAUCUGACCCAUUUUUGUAAAGCAUUUGCUCAAAGAUGCUGCUGGAGCCAUUCUUGCUGAGAUUGCGAGGUUCGGUGACACUGUCACCGCUAAGUGUCCUUGACUGUAACUUGUAAAAGAGCUGCGGAGACAAUUCCCAAGUGUCUGUGAAAUGCCUGGAUUUUGAGAGUCACACUUAAGCCAUUGUGGCUGUCUGGCUCUUUCGGGAAGAAGCAGAGAAAAUGGAUCUAUUUACAGUUGCUGUUUGGACUGGGGGGAGGAAGGGGCAGGUUUGUGUCUGUUUAGCAGAAAUGUUCUCACGUAGUGCUUCUCCCUUCCUCGAAGAGUUGCAGCCUUCCUUGAAGAGUUGCAGCUGGUUGGACAGGAGCUGGUGAGUCUGGCCUGUGUGCAGAGCAGCCUUCCAAGUGCACUUUAUGGGCUCUGCAUAAGUUUCCAGCUCUGUCUCAGCGAUACAUUGCAUAUGUCCCAGCCUCGCUCCCUUCGGAGCUUACAUCAUUUGUUUUUAAGCUCUCCGGUAUAUUUUCUCUUCCUCUUCCAAAGGCUGUAAGGAAUUAGCUGCUAAACUAAAACAGGAGGGCAGUUCUCCUGCUGAUAAAGAGUCAAUUUUGGCCGAAGUGCAGAGCCCCAGUCUGCAGCACGGCUUCCAGAGCAGCUCCUGUCUCCAGCUGCCAGAGGAGUGGUGCUCACACCUUCCACAUCCCAGGGCAGGCAAGGAGCCACAGAGGGAAACCCGGAGGUGAGGCCACAAUGGCAGAACUGGGAUGGCCAAAGGGAGGUUUUGAUACCUUUAUUGCAGUUAAGCCCUGGUCGUCUUCCACAUCCAGAGCUCCAGCUUCACAGAGUCCCUGGAAAGGCUGCAGGACUUCCCUAGGGAGGCUGGUGGUCCUAGUGGCCUGCUCAGGUGGAACAGGGCUGUUCCUGCAGCUGUUGAGGUUUCACAGCCAUGAUCACAUGUGUCACAGAGGGGUGUCCCACCAUGGUCUCCCUCACCUCAGCUCCUCUUUUGCACUCUCUGUGCUGGUUUGGACAAUCUCCCACUUUCCCUCUGCCCAGCUCACACAAGUUCCCAGUUAAUACAUUUUAAAAUCCCUUUGUGUGCUUUAGAGCUCAUUGCCUGUGAGCUGGGAGCUGGAAUCCUCCUCACCCCACAUCCCAAAGGCUGCAAAGCUGCUCUGAAAUCACACCAGAAAUCGGUACUCCCCACGAGCCCAGUGGGCAGAGGUGAGGAGGGGUCACCUCUGCACUUGCCAGGCUGGAAGGACAGGCUGUCCCUGUCAGCUGGGCAGGAGGAUCGUGGUUUAAAGCUGCUCCCCAAAGCAGGGGUCACUGACCAGUGCUGUCAGUCAGUCCUGAACUCAGGGUAACUGAAAGGAGGAGAAAGGAUUAUUAUGAUUUACUUCAGUACCAGGAAAUCAGCGGCCCCCAAGGGAGCCAACCUGGCAGUUUCUAUUGAUUCUUUUUUUUGCUUUCUUUGUUCCUUUUCAAUUUUUUUCCCUGCCCACUGUUAUUGCACACAUUGAUUCCCCUGAGGGAUCUCUUUGCAAGGCCCUGGAGAGCUUUGAGUCAGAUUUCCUGUGAGUCUCCAGAGUGCAGCUUCUCCCACCAAGCCUGUUUUUGCAGAGUUCUGGAGGAGAAACUGGUUUGUCCGGGCUGGAUCAAAGCACCUCCCUUCCCUCCUGGGCUCCAGCAGCAGCAGGAGGAGGUGGGGAGCAGGAGAGCAUCUCAUGGUAGAGAUGGGAGCUCUAUAAACACCAGUGUCUCAGAAAUGGGGAUCCUUCUGCCUUGAAACCCUCUUGUUCCCUCUCUCCAGGAGGGGAGUUUCCCCACACCCCAAUCCCAGGUCCUCGUUCAGCCCCAUGGCCCCCAGGAGAAUUGAACAUUUCCUUGGGUGAGGCCAUUUUGAUGGGUGCACAAAGAGCUUUGGCUUCCUGCAAACCAAACUUUCUCCUCUUGGUAAUUUUUAUAGGUAGAACUCGAAAUCCUCCUCUUCAGGAACCUCCUCCUUGUAAAGGGCAGAUUUAGUGUCCUGCUGAGUUAGACAAGGGAGAUGCUGGACUUCCCUUUGCUUUGGACAUUCAAACAAAUGGCAGCAACAAUCUCCAUAUUUCCUUCACAUUUGAGUUGAUUUUAGCCAAACUUUGAGGCGUGGAAGACGAUAAACUCCUCCAGAGCUCAUAAAUCCGGGCGAGUAGGGAGAAAAGAGAUCCUGUUACUCCCACAGCAGUGCAGGAGCCCUGUUAGACACCGGCCAGCCCCGCUGGAGACCCUGGAGAUCUGGAAGUUGCCUCAUGGUCAAAGGUCCUGCAUCUCCUGGGGAGCUUCAACCAUCCUGAUAUUUGUUGGAGAGACAGACAACACAGCCUGGCACAGACUGGAAGUCCAGGAAAUUCCUGCAGUUCAUUGAAAAUAACUUUUUGAUACAAGUGGUGGAGGAGCCAAGGAGGAGAGUCUUCAAGCUGUUGGGUGUUCCUUGCUUUUGGGAGGUGCUUUAAAUCUGACUGCCAGAGCCGUGGGCUGCUGAGAGCAGAAGCUGCCUGCACGAUGCUGAGCUCAGGUCUCCUUUCUGUCCUCCUGGUGCUCUCAGUGCUGGAACUGAGCUGGUGCCUGAGUGAUGAAGAAAAGAAGAUCAUCUUGGAUGAGCAUAAUAAAUAUCGCUCCCAGGUCUCUCCUCCUGCCAAGGCUAUGAGGAAGAUGACCUGGGACACGGACCUGGAGGUUGAUGCUCAAAAGCAUGCAGAGAAGUGCAUGUGGUCCCAGAACGGGGGCCCUGGCAGAUUAAACCUCUUUGCUUCACCUUCAACCCUGGAUGUGAAAUUGGCCAUUGAAGAAUGGAAUGCAGAGAGGAAAUUCUACAACUGGAAAACAUCUGAGUGUGUCCCCGGGCAGACGUGUGAGAACUACAUCCAGGUGGUCUGGACAUAUACAGCUCAUGUUGGCUGUGGGAGCAGUUAUUGUGAGAAGAUCGAUGGAGCUGAAACAGAGAACGUGCACCUGCUUGUUUGCAGCUAUUAUCCCCCG
Molecule: RNA transcript, 6084 nt
Organism: Passer domesticus (house sparrow)
Lineage: Eukaryota; Metazoa; Chordata; Aves; Passeriformes; Passeridae
Gene: C25H6orf89
Gene name: chromosome 25 C6orf89 homolog
Exons: 13
Source: RefSeq, a predicted model, not a curated record